Molecule: RNA transcript, 2654 nt
Organism: Carassius carassius (crucian carp)
Lineage: Eukaryota; Metazoa; Chordata; Actinopteri; Cypriniformes; Cyprinidae
Gene name: ethanolamine kinase 1-like
Exons: 6
Source: RefSeq, a predicted model, not a curated record
ACCGUGCAGAACCUGAGCUUAAAUCCGCACCCUGCUUUACUUUAUCGCAUUCACUGAAUCUUCUCCGUCUCAGAGCAGUACCAGCAAGCGUAUAAAGCAAUGGCCAAUUACAUUCACGUCCCAGAAGGCGCGCCUUUGGUUCCUAAAUUAGACGUGAUUCUAGACGAGCACGAUUACAGAGCCGGAGCGCUGAAACUCAUCAAAACGUUGAGACCCCACUGGAAACCUUCGGAGGUCAAAAUGAAGUCUUUCACCGACGGUAUCACAAACAAGCUGAUUGGCUGUUACGUCGGCGGGUCCAUGCAGGACGUGGUCCUGGUUCGGGUCUACGGGAACAAGACAGAACUGUUUGUGGACCGUGAGAACGAAGUGAAGAGCUUCCGUGUCCUGCAGGCCCACCGAUGUGCUCCACGCCUCUACUGCACCUUCAACAAUGGCCUGUGCUAUGAGUUCCUGCAGGGAGUGGCACUGGAGCCCGAGCACAUCCGUAGCCCUGCCAUGUUCAGGCACAUUGCGAGGCAGAUGGCAAAGUACCAUGCCAUACAUGCCCACAACGGCUGGGUGCCCCAAUCAGACCUCUGGCUGAAGAUGAGCAAGUUCUUUUCUCUUGUUCCUACACACUUUGAAGACCCUGAGAAGGACCAGAGGCUGAACAGUGAGGUGCCCAGCACCGCGUGUCUUAGAGACGAGAUGAUCUGGCUUCAGCAGAACCUUUCUAAACUGGGUUCCCCAGUCGUUCUGUGUCACAACGAUCUGCUCUGUAAGAACAUCAUCUACAAACAACAGGAAGAUGUGAGUUUGCCCAAAUCUCUUCAUCUGCUGCACAGGGCUAUAGCCACUGACUGGAGGUGUUCAGUGUGUCCCGCUAGGACGCCACCGGGUCCGGUAACCACCUCACGUGUCUCUUUCUGUAGACCAACACUUCUGUCCAAUAUCAGUCAACCUUUUUUCUUCACACCAGAAGCUCUAGAGCACUGGGAAUGCAAGGCAACGUAAAGUCAAACACACAUUAGGUGCAAUAAUGUUCAUGUAACAAACUAGGCAGUGAUUUGUCAUAUAUUAUACUGUAUUUGUAUACAUAUAUAUAUAUAUAUAUAUACAUACACACGCAUUACACAUAUGUAGAGUAAGUGGAGUAAGGCUUUGUUUUCAACACUGUCUACAUCACCUGACUGAUCAAGUCACUGCUUGUUAGACUACUGCUAUUCAGACUAUGUGCCAUUAGAUGGCAACAUUGCCCAUUUUCUCUCCUUUACCUCCUCUGUCCUUCCAACCCUGUGGUUUUACAGUACAGCCGUCUCUUUUUUUUUUUUUUUGCAUUUGCAUUUUGUAAAGCUGUCAACUCUUAUCUUACCUGAUUUGUUUAUCCAUUUUUGCUCUAUUCACUUUUAUUUUACUCUCUUUUUACUUUUACUGUUUCCUGAAUAUUGUUUAUGCGAGGUGCUCUUUCUGUCACCAGUAAUGAGAUUUCCUGGAAAACUUGGAAUAACUUUGCCCACUCACUAAUAAUUUGUAUUCAAGCAGGAAUCAUUGUUUGUUUUCAGUUGAAAUAUAUAUAUAUAAAAAAAAAAAUACAAAUUUUACUUUAAACGAAAAAAAUCAAAGAAAGUUGCAAGUUUUCCACUUUUCUUCUCAGCAGACUCAUGUAAAUGGUGAUUCAUCAAUUAGAUAAACUUUUAUUUUUUUUAAAUUGAUAACAUAAGUAAUUUCAUUUUGAAAAGAUGAUCAUAGUUUGUAUAUUAUAAAAACUUCAAACAUAUCGUUUUUAAUUGCUUGUGUUGAAAUAUUGCACUUUUCAGAAUAUAGAAUCAAUUUCAUUUACCCCAUACACUUAAAACCUUCUAAUACAUUAUUGAAUUAUUAAAAUCAUGAAAUGAUGAUCAUGAUUUUGAUGGUCAUGUUUAGUUAUGAUGGAAAUGAUUCAUGAUGUGGUAACAUGGGUAUAGUGAACAUCAAAAUUAUAAUGAAGAAUGUUGCAUCAUGAUCUGAAAGUAGGUUUUUUGACAUCAUUACCAGAAUGGUUAGUAUCAGAGAAUUUUAAUCCAGAAACAGUAUCUUUUCAACCGUUCAAAAGUUAAUUGAGUGCAAUGUUGUGUCCACACACACAAAAUCAAAACCUAUCAUUAGAGGAUGUGAAAAAUAUUUUACAUGAAAUGAAACCAUGUGAUAGUUUCAUUUUUCAAAGUGACCCUAAUUGAAGAAUCACCCAUAUAUAACAUGCUGUUUUUUCCACAUGCAUGCUAUAAGUGCAUGAAAUCUGUCCCCGUGUCUUGUUCACUUUCUCAUUUGUUUAUUCUUUCUCGUCUUGCACCAGAAUGCAAAUCCUUACUCCUUUUUUCCACAUUUGAUUUGAUAAGUCACUUAAAUUGCAGAUAAUGCCCAUUGUAGUGUUGGUUUGCUAAUACAGGCAAUAGAUUGUUACAGUAAAAAAGAACAAGGGUUAUUAAGAAGACAAUACCCGUGUGCUUUUCUAAACAAAUUGCUAUUUGUUUCCCCUCCUGCAGGAAAUGUCAAAUUCAUUGACUACGAAUAUGCUGGGUACAAUUAUCAAGCCUAUGAUAUUGGCAAUCACUUCAAUGAAUUUGCAGGUCUGAAUGAGGUGGACUACACGCUGUAUCCUGGGCGAGAGCUCCAGUUGCAAUGGCUCCAGGCCU